Molecule: long non-coding RNA, 1584 nt
Organism: Perca fluviatilis (European perch)
Lineage: Eukaryota; Metazoa; Chordata; Actinopteri; Perciformes; Percidae
Exons: 2
Source: RefSeq, a predicted model, not a curated record
GUGUGUGUGUGUGUGUGUGUGUGUGUGUGUGUGUGUCUGUGUGUGUGUUUUUGUGUGUGUGUGUCUGUGUCUGUGUGUCUGUCUUUUUUUUUUUUUUUUUCUUCAAGGUUUCCACCCUCUACUCCAUUCCCCUCCUUUCUCCAACCACUUUUUGUUUAACGUUUGUGAUAACGUACAUAUCAAAUUAAAAACAACUUGCAUUUAGGUUUGUCCUUCUUUUCUAUAGUGACUGCACAUUUUAGCUAUUAAAAGAACCAAAGAUUGUCCAGCCACUGAAGUCAUAUGAGUUUGAUGUAAUCCUCAUCACUGACAGUUUUGACCUUUUCUUCUUCCACCUGUGGCAGCCAGCAAAUCUGCAGCAACUACUAUGCGAUGCUAUCGUGUCAAUAUGGACCAAAAUCUCCGAGGAAUGUUUCCAGCACCUCGAAUCUAUGCCGCGAAGAAUCAAGGCAGAUCUGAAGGCAAAAGGGGAGUCCAACCCGGUAGUAGCAAGGUGUCCCUAAUAAAGUAGCUGGUGGCAUUAGAGGCGGCAGUUUAAUCUGGAUUACAGGAGAUUUUACACACAGAUCAGCAUUUAACAAAGACCCCCUUACUUGAAUUUGCACUAACUCUUACAAGGUACCUUGCUGUUUAUCUGUGUGUGUGGGGGGAGGCUGUUUGGGCAAACAAAAACACAAAAACCUGAGUCAGGAGGUGGAGCGAAAAAAGAGGUAACGGUUUAAAAGUGUGGAGAAGCUUCUGUUUAAGAAACAUUAACAACAUCAAACAUUAGUGACGCCCCAUUCGGGUUAGACUUCAUCACUGGUGGGACAUUUCUGUCAUCUCUGGAAUAACCUUGUUUGGUAGUGUUUAUUGGUGUUUGAUGACGCCAAGUAUGGUGUUAAAACAGUCUCCUAAGAAUUUGCAACUCUGGGAAACACAAUGCACAAAUGAAUGCAGAAUGAUUUGUAUCUGUGUCUGUUAGUGAUGGUCAAAUGAAGCUUUGUGAACCAUUUUCCCUUUUUUUUUUUUUCUGAGCCCGCUAGAUGGGGCUCUCUCUUCAACAAAGGGUUUGAAAACACACUGAAUUGCCAUCCCUUUUAAUGUUUUUCUUUGAAAUGAGAGCGCCAUCUGGUGAGCUCAGAAAAUAAAGAAAAUGGUUCACGAAGCUUCAUUUGACCAUCGCUAGUGUCCAUGCGUCUAAUUUGUAACUCGUAUUUCAUCAUUUGUAAAUCAACUUAGUAUUUUUCAAUGGAGAUGUAUUUGUAUAUCUCCUUCUAUUUCUGCGGAUACUUUUGAGACUGUUUUUCCGCGCCAUGGAGACAAGUUGCACAUUUUUAUUUUUUUAGCACCAUACCAAGGUUUCAAGUAUUCAUUUUGUGAUGAUUUGUUUGUGAUUUUAUGUUUACACUAACUUGUAAAAUGAAGGUUAUGAAAGUGUACUGUGGGGAGAAGAAGGAGAUGAAUAUUUUUGCGUGUGGGUAUGACUAACAGUAGAUAUUAUGGUACCUUGGAUGAGUUAAUGGCCAUUUUUUGGAAAGAGAAUACCAUUGUGAUUUUAUUCACUUUUACAGUAAAAUUGUUCAAUUAAACACGUUUGGCACA